Molecule: ribosomal RNA, 253 nt
Filed under: uncultured bacterium
Lineage: Bacteria
Description: partial 16S ribosomal RNA
Rfam family: Bacterial small subunit ribosomal RNA
Source: RNAcentral
UACGUAGGGGGCAAGCGUUGUCCGGAUUUAUUGGGCGUAAAGAGCGUGUAGGCGGUUCGGUAGGUCCGUUGUGAAAACUCGAGGCUCAACCUCGAGACGCCGAUGGAAACCAUCGAACUAGAGUCCGGAAGAGGAGAGUGGAAUUCCUGGUGUAGCGGUGAAAUGCGCAGAUAUCAGGAAGAACACCCGUGGCGAAGGCGGCUCUCUGGGACGGUACUGACGCUGAGGCGCGAAAGCGUGGGGAGCAAACAGG